GACGAACGCUGGCGGCGUGCUUAACACAUGCCAGUCGAACGGAAAGGCCCUGCUUUUGUGGGGUGCUCGAGUGGCGAACGGGUGAGUAACACGUGAGUAACCUGCCCUUGACUUUGGGAUAACUUCAGGAAACUGGGGCUAAUACCGGAUAGGAGCUCCUGCUGCAUGGUGGGGGUUGGAAAGUUUCGGCGGUUGGGGAUGGACUCGCGGCUUAUCAGCUUGUUGGUGGGGUAGUGGCUUACCAAGGCUUUGACGGGUAGCCGGCCUGAGAGGGUGACCGGCCACAUUUGGACUGAGAUACGGCCCAGACUCCUACGGGAGGCAGCAGUGGGGAAUAUUGCACAAUGGGCGGAAGCCUGAUGCAGCAACGCCGCGUGCGGGAUGACGGCCUUCGGGUUGUAAACCGCUUUCGCCUGUGACGAAGCGUGAGUGACGGUAAUGGGUAAAGAAGCACCGGCUAACUACGUG
RNAcentral lists this ribosomal RNA (468 nucleotides) under uncultured bacterium. RNAcentral describes it as "partial 16S ribosomal RNA". It matches the Rfam family "Bacterial small subunit ribosomal RNA", at positions 28 to 507 of the family's 1533-position model. The record is from RNAcentral.